Molecule: ribosomal RNA, 478 nt
Filed under: uncultured bacterium
Lineage: Bacteria
Description: partial 16S ribosomal RNA
Rfam family: Bacterial small subunit ribosomal RNA
Source: RNAcentral
GACGAACGCUGGCGGCGUGCUUAACACAUGCAAGUCGAACGGUAAGGCCCUUCGGGGUACACGAGUGGCGAACGGGUGAGUAACACGUGGGUGAUCUGCCCUGCACUUUGGGAUAAGCCUGGGAAACUGGGUCUAAUACCGGAUAGGACCAUGGCAUGCAUGUGCUGUGGUGGAAAGCUUUUGCGGUGUGGGAUGGGCCCGCGGCCUAUCAGCUUGUUGGUGGGGUGAUGGCCUACCAAGGCGACGACGGGUAGCCGGCCUGGGAGGGUGUCCGGCCACACUGGGACUGAGAUACGGCCCAGAGUCCUACGGGAGGCAGCAGUGGGGAAUAUUGCACAAGGGGCGCAAGCCUGAUGCAGCGACGCCGCGUGGGGGAUGACGGCCUUCGGGUUGUAAACCUCUUUCAAUAGGGACGAAGCGCAAGUGACGGUACCUAUAGAAGAAGCACCGGCCAACUACGUGCCAUCCGCCGCCGUAA